This 6046-nucleotide long non-coding RNA is filed under the name Olea europaea subsp. europaea. The record is from RNAcentral. Lineage: Eukaryota; Viridiplantae; Streptophyta; Magnoliopsida; Lamiales; Oleaceae.
CUCUUUUUCCUUCGUCUCUUGAACUCUAUGGAAUCUCAGUUUUUUUGCUUCUUUUCUCUUUUCAUCUCCUUCAUCUUCUUUGUGUUUCCAAACUUCUGUGAUUUGAGGUUUGUAUUCAGUGUGAAUAAGUGAAUUUAAGUGAUUCUUGUGUGAGGAGAAAGGGUUGAUAUCUGUUUUGGGAAUUUUUCCUUUGGUCUGUCGAAGUAGCCUCGUUCAGUUUCCUAUGUAGGUUUGGGUAUUUUGCUGUUUCUUAUUUGUACAGAAUGGUACAAUGAUUCUUGAGCCCAAAGUCGAUGAAAUCUUGAUGUCAAAUAUUCGAUUUGUGUUGUAACCUUUUAGAGUGAAUAAUUUAUGGGAUACUUUGUGUAUUUUUUAUUUCAUGGUAUAAUGGUGGUAUUAGAACCAUUAGAGGGGUUAGGGCUUCGUUCGAUGGUGAUUUGUUGGGGAAAAAAUCAUUUUCAUAGCCUGAAGAGAUCUCUGUGAUCGAUUUUUUUUUUCGAAACCCUAGAUCCGUUUCAACCACAGAUCUUACAUAUCUUUGUUUACAUUUUUUAUAUAUAUUCUGAUGACUAAACUAACGAUUGUUCUCUUUGGCUGUCUCAUUAGUUUCUUGCAGGUUAACCCUUACGAACUGAGUUGCCGUGAUUGAUUCUUGGGAGACCAAAAUUAUUGUAGAGGCUUUCUUAGUUAUUGGUAGUCAUAACUAACGACUACCUCUUUGGUUUGAGGCUUUGAUAGAUCUUCCUGUAUACAAUAACAUACGUGUGUAGUUAAAUUUUGUAAACUGCAUUCGUUUAUUGGUUCUGUUUGACACAUGCAUUAUAUCCCAUUCAAAUUCUAGUUCCGAUGCCCAAAUUGAGCCUUGACCUGAGGACAUGAUCUUUACGGAAUCCUGGUGAAUUUGGGCAUUUGGGGCCUGAAGUGCAUUACAUUGGAUAUACUACCAUUUCAUGUUAUUAUUAAUACUCUGUGCGUUAUUGUUUUCUUGAUUCUUGAAGCUACUUGAUACUUAAUAAUUUUGGCUAACUUUUAGUGUUGUCAAACUUUAUUCUGUAUCUACUUUGUUUCUGUUGAACAUUGUACCUACAAAUAAUUUUCUUAUGUUGAUUAAAAACUCUAAAUGUCAACUACUAAGUUUGAACUUGGGGGUUUUUAAUGGAAAAGGGGACUUCCCCAUUUGGCAGCAAAAAAAUGAAAGCGAUCCUUGUUCAACAGAAUGUCUCAAAGGCUAUAACUGCUGAAUAUCCUGCUACUAUGACUCAAGAACAAAAAAAUGAAUAUGAUGAACUUGCCUAUGCCUUUAUCAUAUUGCAUUUAUCUGAUCAAGUCUUAAGGAAAGUUGGGAAACUUGAUAAUGCAAAAGCUUUGUGGGAUAAACUAGAAGAACUUCAUUUAGUAAAAUCCUUACCAAAUAAAAUAUUUCUUUUGGAAAGACUCUUCAGUUUUAUGACAGACCCUUCCAAAGAUUUAGAAGAUAACCUCGAUGUUUUUAAUAAAUUGGUUCAAGAUACAACCGUUGCUGGAGAAAAAGUCUCUAAGGAGUACAAGGCUAUCAUUCUUCUUAAUUCAUUGCCUAAAGCCUAUAAAGAUGUUAAAACUGCCAUUGCGUAUGGUAGGGAUGCCUUAACUCCUGAGGUUCUUGUGGAUUUUUUAAGAAGCAAAGAACUAGAACUUAAAUCUGAAAAACAAGGAAGGGAUUCUGAGGGCCCAUUUGUUAGAGGUAGAUCACUUAGUAGGUAAAAUAGUAGUCGUGAAAAUCAGAGUCAUCAAGGAAACAAUAAUAACAAGAAGAAAUGGAAAGGAAGACCUAGGUCCAAGUCUAGGAUUGGAAAUAGGAAGUGCCAUGGAUGUGGAAAAACUGGUCACUUUAUUAAAGACUGCUAUAAGAAAAAGAAUGAACAAAGAGAUAGGAAGGUGGAUGAGGGAAAUGUUGUAGAACCCCUAGAAGAUAAAACUAUGGAUGUUUAUGUUGUUAUAGAACCCAUUACUGACUUGAAUACUGUUAAUUUUUUUGAAAAUAAUGACCAGAUUCAAGAGUGGAUUCUUGAUUCUAGUUGUACAUUUUAUAUGACUUCCAAAAGAUUUAAUUAGAAAGUUUUAAAAAUUGGUAGUGUGACUUUGAAAUUUGAAAAUGGAUAUAUAUUUACACUAGAGAGAGUAAGAUAUGUUCCAGAUUUAAACAGAAACUUAAUUUCAAUGGGUAACCUAGAUGACAUUGGCCUGCAAGCUAAACUUGGUGGUGGCCUUUUAAAUGUAAUUAAAGGCUCAAUUGUAAUAUUCAAAGGUGUCAAAAGAAAUGGAAUAUAUUUCAUUAGAGCUGAGGUAAUUUCAAGUCACACUGUCGAGUCCUAAAUUGCUGAAGUUUCUGCCACCUUAAAAGUUAGCAGUAAGUGAAAGAGGUCUGCACAUUUUAAGUUAAAAAGGUGUCUUUGGAAAAGAUAAUAUUUCAAAAAUCCCCUUCUAUGAUUAUUGUACUCUAGGCAAAUAACAUAGACUUUACUUUAAUACUGGAAAGCAAUUGACUACUUCUAUGUUGGAGUAUAUACAUGGUAAUUUGUAAGGGCCCUAUCUACCAGAACUAAAGGAGGAAAUAAAUAUUUUUUUUUAUCUUUGAUUGAUGAUUUUUCAAGAAAGGUUUGGAUUUUUCUAUUUAAACAAAAGUCAGAUACCUUGAAAAUUCUAAAGCUUGGAAAAACUUGAUUGAAAAUCAAACUGGGAAGAAAAUUAAAAUACUAAGAACUGAUAAUGGUCUAAAAUUUUUUAAUGUUGAUUUUCAUCAACUAUGUAAGGCUAGUGACAUCCUUAGACAUAAAACUGUUUCUUAUACCCCUCACCAAAAUGGAGUUGCUGAAAGGAGCAAUAGAACAAUUCUAGACAAAGUUAGAUGCAUGGUGAUCAGUUCUGGAGUCCCUAAAGUGUUGUGGGGAGAAGCUGCUAUGACAAUUGUGUACAUCAUAAAUAGAACCCCUAAUAGUGUCUUAGAUGGUAGAACUCCUAAGGAGCUCUGGUUUAGAAAAAUACCAAAUUAUACUCACCUUAAGAUUUUUGGUUGUGCAAUAUUUUCUCAUCAAAGUGUUGGUAAGCUUGAACCUAGAUCCCUGAAAUGUGUUUUUAUGGGGUAUUCUAAGGGUGUAAAAGGCUAUAGGUUGUGGGAUAGGAGUGUCAAGAGGUUUAGGAUGAUGACAAGUAGGAAUGUGACCUUCAAUCAGUAUGACAUGCCCUGCAUGUCUGAGAAACAACAAGAAACUGAAUCUGUGAAAGAUAAAGAUGAGGUGAUUAGGCUGCAGGUGGAGCUUAGGUCACCUGCUGAACAUACCGAUGAAGCUCAACCUAAAAAUGAGAAAGUUUCAGAAGUUGAAAUAGAGGAAGAAGUGACUGUUCAAGGAGUAGGUGUGGAAGAAAAAUCCUUUAGAAAGUUACCAGCUUACUAGGGAUAAGGUUAAAAGAAAGAUAAGGCAACCCCUGAAAAUGAGAACUACCUAUCCUUAGCUUUAUUGUCAUAUCAAGAUCUAGCCUUUAAAGAACCUAAACCAUAUGAAGAGGCUGUGAGUUGUCAAUUAUGAAAUGACUAGAAAUUGGCCAUGGAUGAAGAAAUGAACUCUUUGUUGAAAAAUGAUACUUGAAUUUUGGUCCCUAACCUUAAAGAUAAAUCCAUAGUUGACUGUAAGUAUAUUUAUAACAUAAAAGAUGGUGACAAUUUGAAGCAGCCUAUUAGGUUUAAAGCCAGAUUAUUUGCAAAAGGAUUUACAGAAAAACCUGGAAUUGAUUAUAAUGAAAUGUUCUCACAUGUGGUUAAAUACAUAACCAUUAGAGUCAUGCUUACUUUGGUAGCACAUUUUGACUUAGAACUUGAACAAAUGGACGUCAAAACUAUUUGUUUGCAUGAAUACUUGGAUGAAACUGUUUAUAUGUGUUAGCUACUUGGUUUUAUUGAUGCUAAGAAAUCAGAACACAUGUGCCUGUUAAAAAGAUCUCUGUAUGGGUUUAAACAAUCACCAAGACAAUGGUAUAAACAUUUUGAUAAUUUUGUGUCAUCUGUUGAUUUUAUUAGAAACUCUUUUGAUCUUUGUCUUUACUUUACAAAGUAUAAAAAUGAAUUUGUGAUUGUUUACCUGCUUCUGUAUGUGGAUGAUAUGCUUCUAAUAGGACAAACUAUGAGUGAUAUUAAUGAUAUGAAAAGAUCUUUGUCCUCUGAAUUUGAAAUGAAAGACUUGUGCCAUGCUAGGAAAAUUUUAGGUAUGGAUAUUAAAAGAAAUAGAUCCCAACAAGUUCUUUUUCUUUCACAAUCUACCUAUGUGGAGAAAGUGUUAUCUAAAUUUGCUAUUCAUGAAUCAAAGUCUGUUACUUUACCACUUGUAAGUCAUUUUAUAUUGAGUAAAGAUAAGUACCUUGUUGAUGAAUUUGAUGUAAAAUACAUGCAAAAAGUCCCUCAUGCUAAGGCCAUGGGGUUUGUAAUGUACAAUAUGGUAUGUACCAGACCUGAUGUUGUUCAUGCUAUCAGUACCUUAAAUAGAUUUAUGGCCAAUCCUGGCCUUGAACACUAAACUGCUUUAAAGUGGUUACUGAGAUGACCAUAUAAAUUAGGUUUAUAUUUUAAUUCAUGUAAAGAAGGUAUUGUGUUUAAGGGUUUUGUUGAUUCUGAUUAUGUGGGGAACAAAGACAAUAGAAAAUCUACCACAUCUUAUAUGUUUACUUUGUGUGGCACUUGUGUGAGUUGGAAAUCACAAUUACGGUUUAUUGUUGCAUUAUCUACCGCUGAAGCAGAAUAUGUAGCUAUCACUAAAGCCAUAAAAGAAGCAUUAUGGCUUAAAGGUUUGUUAUGUGAAUUAAAUGUCCUUUCUCACCCAAUAGCAGUUUACUCAAAUAGUUAGAGUGCUAUUCAUUUGUGUAAAAAUCAUGUUUUUCAUGAAAGAACUAAGCAUAUAGAUGCUAGAAUGCAUUUUAUUAAAGAAAUAAUUCACAAAGAUUCUAUUAUACUUGAAAAAAAACCCCAACUGAGUUCAAUCCUGCUGAUUGAUAUAGGAACUAAGGUACUUAAAUCCUCCUGAUUGAUAUAGGAACUAAGGUACUUCUUCUGAACAAGUUCAAAUCUUGUUUACAAAUGCUAAAAAUUGAUGCUGGGUAAUUCUGUGUGAAUUGAAAGUACUAUUUCGUUCACCUUGGUGCAGUGAGCUAUGGGACCUAAAAAUAAUGGAUGUGCUGAAGUUACUUUUUCUGUAUUUUGUGUCCUGUUUGAGUCAUUGGCAUCAAGGUGGAGAUUGUUUGGAUUGUGAUGCCAAUUUUGGAUUUACAACUUAGCCAAUGGGCUAUGAUGAAAACUUGGCUAGGCCCAUUCUCGAUACUACACUUCCAUUGCUCGAUAACUCAAAUAAAGAGGCCCAAAAUUCGAGCCCAAAAAUUUGGCCACGAGUGAUACUCCGAACCAUUGGAUCCUCUGAUUGAAAUCAAUGGUAAUGAGCUUCUAAUAUAAAUUGACUUCUGAUGGUUGUCCUAGGAGACUGGACUCUUUUUCUUCCGUCUCUUGAACUCUCUAGAAUUUGAGUUUUUACGUCUUCCUUUCUCUUUUCGUCUCCUUCAUGUUUCCCUUGAAAAUUUUGUGAUUUGGGAUUUGUAUUCUGUGUGAAUAAGUUAAUCUAAGUGAUUCUUGUGUGAGGAGAAAGUGUUAAUAUCUAUUUUGGGGGUUUUUCCUUUGGUCCGUUGAAGUAGCCUCAUUCGGUUUCCAGUGGGUUUGGGUAUUUUGGUGCUUCUUAUUUGUAUAGAAGGAUACCAUGAUUUCUGAGCCCAAAGUCGAUGAAAUCUUGGUGUCAAAUGUUUGAUUUGUUUUGUAACCUUUUACAGUGAAUAAUUUCUGGGAUACUUUGUGUAUUUUUUAUUUCAUGGUAUAAUAUAGAAUAUAUCAGAGAAUUGUUUUAUCUGACUUUAUACUCUUGGUUUGAUGUCAUGGCUACUAAUCCGAUAAGACUACCUAAUUUCAUGUUAUUUCUUUUUUGUUUAAAUUGAGAAUACACUUCCUGUGUACUCUUUUUUUAUUAAUAAAAUUAUCUGA